AAACAGCCCCCUAUGUUUUGAUUCUUUUGCAGUUUUGGACCCCCAAGGCAAAAAUAAAAAAUAAAAAAUUUGACACGUGGCACCUAGCUUAGGGUGCCACGUCAGCGUUGACCGAGCCAACAAUAAAUUGGGGGUCCAAAACUUCCAAACAAUCAAAACAUAGGGGGCUGUUU
This 173-nucleotide microRNA precursor is filed under the name Medicago truncatula (barrel medic). RNAcentral describes it as "MIR2619 microRNA precursor family". It matches the Rfam family "MIR2619 microRNA precursor family". Lineage: Eukaryota; Viridiplantae; Streptophyta; Magnoliopsida; Fabales; Fabaceae. The record is from Rfam by way of RNAcentral.